Molecule: ribosomal RNA, 404 nt
Filed under: uncultured bacterium
Lineage: Bacteria
Description: bacterial SSU rRNA
Rfam family: Bacterial small subunit ribosomal RNA
Source: RNAcentral
UGGGGAAUAUUGGACAAUGGACGCAAGUCUGAUCCAGCAAUGCCGCGUGAAUGAUGAAGGCCUUAGGGUUGUAAAGUUCUUUAAGUAGGGAAGAUAAUGACGGUACCUACAGAAUAAGCACCGGCUAACUUCGUGCCAGCAGCCGCGGUAAUACGAAGGGUGCAAGCGUUGUUCGGAAUUACUGGGCGUAAAGCGUGCGUAGGCGGUUUAACAAGUUGGGAGUGAAAUCCCGGAGCUUAACUCCGGAAUUGCUUUCAAGACUGUUAGGCUAGAGUAUGGUAGGGGACAGUGGAAUUCCUAGUGUAGAGGUGAAAUUCGUAGAUAUUAGGAGGAACACCAGUGGCGAAAGCGACUGUCUGGACCAUUACUGACGCUGAGGCACGAAAGCGUGGGGAGCAAACAGG